UACGAAGGGGGCUAGCGUUGCUCGGAAUCACUGGGCGUAAAGCGCACGUAGGCGGCUUUCUAAGUCAGGGGUGAAAUCCUGGAGCUCAACUCCAGAACUGCCUUUGAUACUGGGAAGCUCGAGUCCGGAAGAGGUGAGUGGAACUCCGAGUGUAGAGGUGAAAUUCGUAGAUAUUCGGAAGAACACCAGUGGCGAAGGCGGCUUUCUGGCUCGUAACUGACGCUGAGGCGCGAAAGCGUGGGGAGCAAACAGG
Molecule: ribosomal RNA, 253 nt
Filed under: uncultured bacterium
Lineage: Bacteria
Description: partial 16S ribosomal RNA
Rfam family: Bacterial small subunit ribosomal RNA
Source: RNAcentral